Molecule: ribosomal RNA, 301 nt
Filed under: uncultured bacterium
Lineage: Bacteria
Description: partial 16S ribosomal RNA
Rfam family: Bacterial small subunit ribosomal RNA
Source: RNAcentral
CAGCAGCCACGGGAAUACGUAGGUGGCAAGCGUUGUCCGGAAUUAUUGGGCGUAAAGGGCUCGCAGGCGGUUUCUUAAGUCUGAUGUGAAAGCCCCCGGCUCAACCGGGGAGGGUCAUUGGAAACUGGGAAACUUGAGUGCAGAAGGGGAGAGUGGAAUUCCACGUGUAGCGGUGAAAUGCGUAGAGAUGUGGAGGAACACCAGUGGCGAAGGCGACUCUCUGGUCUGUAACUGACGCUGAGGAGCGAAAGCGUGGGGAGCGAACAGGAUUAGAUACCCCUGUAGUCCCUGUCUCUUAUAA